This 408-nucleotide ribosomal RNA is filed under the name uncultured bacterium. RNAcentral describes it as "partial 16S ribosomal RNA". It matches the Rfam family "Bacterial small subunit ribosomal RNA", at positions 28 to 526 of the family's 1533-position model. The record is from RNAcentral.
GACGAACGCUGGCGGCGUGCUUAACACAUGCAAGUCGAACGAAGUGGCGAACGGGUGAGUAACGCGUAAUCAACCGGCACAUCAGAGGGGGACAACAGUUGGAAACGACUGCUAAUAACGCAUACUGAAGGAGGGGAUUGCGUCUGCUUAGUUAGUGGGAGGGGGAACGGCCCACCAAGGCGAUGAUCAGCAGUCGGGCUCAAAGUAUGAACGGCCACAUUGGGACUGAUACGCGGACCCAACCCCUACGGGGUGCAGGAGUGGGGAAUCUUCCGCAAUGGACGAACGUCUGACUGUGCAACGCCGCGUGAGUGAUGACGGCCUUCGGGUUGUAAAGCUCUUUUCAUCCGGACGCGGUACCGGAAUAGUAAGCCACGGCUAACUACGUGCCAGCAGCCGCGGUAAUAC